This 76-nucleotide transfer RNA is filed under the name Wenzhouxiangella sp. Its description in RNAcentral is "tRNA-Gly". It matches the Rfam family "tRNA". From Rfam's summary of the family: Transfer RNA (tRNA) molecules are approximately 80 nucleotides in length. Their secondary structure includes four short double-helical elements and three loops (D, anti-codon, and T loops). Further hydrogen bonds mediate the characteristic L-shaped molecular structure. tRNAs have two regions of fundamental functional importance: the anti-codon, which is responsible for specific mRNA codon recognition, and the 3' end, to which the tRNAs corresponding amino acid is attached (by aminoacyl-tRNA synthetases). tRNAs cope with the degeneracy of the genetic code in two manners: having more than one tRNA (with a specific anti-codon) for a particular amino acid; and 'wobble' base-pairing, i.e. permitting non-standard base-pairing at the 3rd anti-codon position. Lineage: Bacteria; Pseudomonadati; Pseudomonadota; Gammaproteobacteria; Chromatiales; Wenzhouxiangellaceae. The record is from RNAcentral.
GCGAAUAUGGUGUCAACGGCUAGCAUAACUGGCUUCCACCCAGUAGGUUCGGGUUCGAAUCCCGAUAUUCGCUCCA